Molecule: ribosomal RNA, 167 nt
Filed under: uncultured bacterium
Lineage: Bacteria
Description: partial 16S rRNA
Rfam family: Bacterial small subunit ribosomal RNA
Source: RNAcentral
UAGGGAAUCUUCGGCAAUGGGGGCGAACCCUGACCGAGCAACGCCGCGUGACGUGAAGAAGGUUUUCGGAUCGUAAAGCUCUGUUGUAAGAGAAGAACGUGUGUGAGAGUGGAAAGUUCACACAGUGACGGUAACUUACCAGAAAGGGACGGCUAACUACGUGCCAG